This 210-nucleotide ribosomal RNA is filed under the name uncultured bacterium. RNAcentral's name for it is "partial 16S ribosomal RNA". It matches the Rfam family "Bacterial small subunit ribosomal RNA", at positions 524 to 731 of the family's 1533-position model. The record is from RNAcentral.
UACAGAGGUCCCAAGCGUUGUUCGGAUUCAUUGGGCGUAAAGGGUGCGUAGGCGGCGCGGUAAGUCGGGUGUGAAAUCUCGGAGCUUAACUCCGAAACUGCAUUCGAUACUGCCGUGCUUGAGGACUGGAGAGGAGACUGGAAUUUACGGUGUAGCGGUGAAAUGCGUAGAUAAUCGUAAGGAAGACCGAGUGGCGAAGGCGGGUCUCUG